Molecule: ribosomal RNA, 468 nt
Filed under: uncultured bacterium
Lineage: Bacteria
Description: partial 16S ribosomal RNA
Rfam family: Bacterial small subunit ribosomal RNA
Source: RNAcentral
GACGAACGCUGGCGGCGUGCUUAACACAUGCAAGUCGAACGGAAAGGCCCUGCUUUUGUGGGGUGCUCGAGUGGCGAACGGGUGAGUAACACGUGAGUAACCUGCCCUUGACUUUGGGAUAACUUCAGGAAACUGGGGCUAAUACCGGAUAGGAGCUCCUGCUGCAUGGUGGGGGUUGGAAAGUUUCGGCGGUUGGGGAUGGACUCGCGGCUUAUCAGCUUGUUAGUGAGGUAGUGGCUUACCAAGGCUUUGACGGGUAGCCGGCCUGAGAGGGUGACCGGCCACAUUGGGACUGAGAUACGGCCCAGACUCCUACGGGAGGCAGCAGUGGGGAAUAUUGCACAAUGGGCGGAAGCCUGAUGCAGCAACGCCGCGUGCGGGAUGACGGCCUUCGGGUUGUAAACCGCUUUCGCCUGUGACGAAGCGUGAGUGACGGUAAUGGGUAAAGAAACACCGGCUAACUACGUG